UCCACGCUGUAAACGAUGAGUACUAGCUGUUGGAUCUGGUGUAAAAGAUUUAGUGGCGCAGCUAACGCGUUAAGUACUCCGCCUGGGGACUACGGCCGCAAGGCUAAAACUCAAAGGAAUUGACGGGGACCCGCACAAGCGGUGGAGCAUGUGGUUUAAUUCGAUGCAACGCGAAGAACCUUACCUACCCUUGACAUCCACAGAACUUUCCAGAGAUGGAUCGGUGCCUUCGGGAACUGUGAGACAGGUGCUGCAUGGCUGUCGUCAGCUCGUGUUGUGAAAUGUUGGGUUAAGUCCCGCAACGAGCGCAACCCUUAUCUUUAGUUGCCAUCAGGUAAUGCUGGGCACUCUAGAGAGACUGCCGC
Molecule: ribosomal RNA, 365 nt
Filed under: uncultured bacterium
Lineage: Bacteria
Description: bacterial SSU rRNA
Rfam family: Bacterial small subunit ribosomal RNA
Source: RNAcentral